UUUUGAUAUCUCAUUGGUUGUUCCUAAAGACAGAGUAGCUUUAUCAAACAUGAAUGUAAUUGACCGGAAACCAUACCCUGAUGAUGAAAAUUUAGUGGAAGUGAAGUUUGCCCGCACACCUGUUAUGUCUACAUAUCUGGUGGCAUUUGUUGUGGGUGAAUAUGACUUUGUAGAAACAAGGUCAAAAGAUGGUGUGUGUGUCCGUGUUUACACUCCUGUUGGCAAAGCAGAGCAAGGAAAAUUUGCGUUAGAGGUAAAUGUACUUGAAGAGGAUUGUUCCAACAGUCCAUAACUCCAGGUUGGGGAAUUUACAUUUCUGGUCAAUUAUUAGUACAGUUAUUUAUAAUUUAAUCUGAAAGUUGUGCUACUUGGUUUAUUUUUAAUAGAAUUUAGGAAAUGCCAACCUUGGUGUUUCAUUAUUUUACAAAAUAAUAAUUAAGAGAAUAUAAGAGUGGAAUGUCUCUAGGGAAUGGGUUGGAAAAUAUGUAGUUACAUUUUUCAUAUCAAGUUAUAAAUGG
This 518-nucleotide small RNA is filed under the name Pan troglodytes (chimpanzee). Its description in RNAcentral is "retained intron". The record is from RNAcentral. Lineage: Eukaryota; Metazoa; Chordata; Mammalia; Primates; Hominidae.